AAAUUCUCAACUGCUUUGGGCUUGAUCCCUCUUGCCCAAAGUGAAGUUGGAUUUGGAGGAAAAUGCUGGCGCUCCUCAGGGGGGCUUGUCAGCACCUCUCAAAGGCAAUCCGAUGCCUUUGUCUUUGGCAGAAGUUAUCUCAGACGUGAUAAUAAACCUAAUUUUUUGCGUCUCGGAGGCUGCCCUUGCAAAUGGCAUAGUGGAACACCGUACCGCUGACCA
Molecule: unclassified non-coding RNA, 222 nt
Filed under: uncultured Agaricomycetes
Lineage: Eukaryota; Fungi; Basidiomycota; Agaricomycetes
Description: sequence contains ITS2
Source: RNAcentral